GACGAACGCUGGCGGUGCGCCUAACACAUGCAAGUCGAACGGUGAACCGGGCUUCGGCCCGGGGAUCAGUGGCGAACGGGUGCGUAACACGUGGGCAACCUGCCCCCGACCCUGGGAUAACCCCGGGAAACCGGAGCUAAUACCGGAUACUCUCCUCCGACCACAUGGUCAGAAGAGGAAAGGUCCGCCGGUCGGGGAUGGGCCCGCGGCCUAUCAGCUUGUUGGUGGGGUAACGGCCUACCAAGGCGACGACGGGUAGCUGGUCUGAGAGGACGACCAGCCACACUGGGACUGAGACACGGCCCAGACUCCUACGGGAGGCAGCAGUGGGGAAUCUUGCGCAAUGGGCGAAAGCCUGACGCAGCGACACCGCGUGGGGGAUGAAGGCCUUUCAGGUCGUAAACCCCUUUCGGCAGGGACGAAGCGAUCUCGUGACGGUACCUGCAGAAGAAGCCUCGGCUAACUACGUGC
RNAcentral lists this ribosomal RNA (471 nucleotides) under uncultured bacterium. RNAcentral's name for it is "bacterial SSU rRNA". It matches the Rfam family "Bacterial small subunit ribosomal RNA", at positions 28 to 508 of the family's 1533-position model. The record is from RNAcentral.